GAGUGACGAACAUGUGAACCACAUUAGUAGACAUCUCAGAUCAAUUCUAAUCUUCCUCCCUAGAUUCAAAUCUCCUUCGCAGCGCCGGAAUCCGUUGCCGACGACGGCGGAGCCUGAACUACCAAAUCCAGAUACCAAACUUCUCCUACGUACGCCAUAAACUCGAAUCUUGGCUCAGGUUCCCCAGACUCAUCAUCAAUUAAAUGAAUCAGAGUAACUUCUUCAUGAACCUUAGGUCGUAAAAAGUAAAUUAAACUCUCCCUACCUGGAAUCGAAGCCCUAGGGGUUAGGGCUCUGAUUCCAAUCAUCUCCAGCUACACUACGGGCCUGAAAUUGCUUGACCCUGAGACGGUGUCUUUGGUCUAGAUACUUGCCAUGUAUCGAUGCAUGUCUGCACUUGCUCAACUACUACUGAAUUGGGCUGGAUUUGUUGUGGUUUGGUUUGAGACUAGGCAUUGGUUUCCAGCAGGACCAACUUGCUUUCCCUUUGGCUUGGUGCAGCAAGGCUUUGAUCCUAGACAUUAAGGAUGUUUCCUGCUGCAGGCUAAGGAUUUGGACUGCAGCAUCUCUCCAUGAUGCAGGCUGUAUCAAGGGCCUGUGCAGCAGGGUGAAAGUUGGUUGUCAAGGCAAGAAAUCCAAGUGUUCAAGAUAUGACCAAGUUCAAAGCAUGUUGGCAUCAAAGUGAAAAAUCAAGUUCAAAUGGUUAAACCAAGAUCAACAUGGACAUGGAGAAUGAAAUUAGAGUUAGGACUAGUCAUUUAGUGAUUAGGGAUGACCAAGGACCUAGGUUGACUUUGGUCAAAGUUGACCAAAAAGUCAACUGUUGACCAAAGUCAACAAUUGGUCAAAAUUCAAUUUUUUGUAUUUUUCUUGUAAAUGGACAAUGGAUUGAUGAUUAUGGUGAAAUUUAGGGCAUUAGGGUUUUGGGUUGACUUUGGUCAAAGUUGACCAAAAAGUCAAUUGUUGACCAAAGUCAACAAUUGGUCAAAAAUGUCAAGUUUUGUAUUUUCUUGUGUAGAAUCACGUGUAAUGGUUUAAAAUGACAUGGAAUAGAUUGAAAUGGUUUGAAAAAUA
Molecule: long non-coding RNA, 1074 nt
Organism: Lathyrus oleraceus (garden pea)
Lineage: Eukaryota; Viridiplantae; Streptophyta; Magnoliopsida; Fabales; Fabaceae
Exons: 3
Source: RefSeq, a predicted model, not a curated record